This 784-nucleotide ribosomal RNA is filed under the name uncultured bacterium. Its description in RNAcentral is "bacterial SSU rRNA". It matches the Rfam family "Bacterial small subunit ribosomal RNA", at positions 678 to 1462 of the family's 1533-position model. The record is from RNAcentral.
GCGGUGAAAUGCGUAGAUAUCUGGAAGAACACCGGUGGCGAAAGCGGCCUCCUGGACGGUGACUGACGCUGAGACGCGAAAGCGUGGGGAGCAAACAGGAUUAGAUACCCUGGUAGUCCACGCCAUAAACGAUGAACACUAGUCGUCGUGAUGCUUGUCAUUGCGGUGAUGCACUUAACAGAUUAAGUGUUCCGCCUGGGGAGUACGGUCGCAAGAUUAAAACUCAAAGGAAUAGACGGGGACCCGCACAAGUGGUGGAGCAUGUGGUUUAAUUCGAAGAUACGCGAAAAACCUUACCUGGUCUUGACAUUGAUAGAAUCUGCUAGAGAUAGCGGAGUGCCCUUCGGGGAGCUUGAAAACAGGUGCUGCACGGCUGUCGUCAGCUCGUGUCGUGAGAUGUUGGGUUAAGUCCCGCAACGAGCGCAACCCUCGUCCUUAGUUGCCAGCAGGUUAAGCUGGGCACUCUAGGGAGACUGCCUUCGUAAGGAGGAGGAAGGUGAGGACGACGUCAAGUCAUCAUGGCCCUUACGGCCAGGGCUACACACGUGCUACAAUGGGGCGUACAGAGUGUUGCAAUACCGCGAGGUGGAGCCAAUCACUUAAAGCGUCUCUCAGUUCGGAUUGUUCUCUGCAACUCGAGAGCAUGAAGUCGGAAUCGCUAGUAAUCGCGGAUCAGCAUGUCGCGGUGAAUACGUUCCCGGGUCUUGUACACACCGCCCGUCACACCAUGGGAGGGAAUCUGGCAGAAGUAGGUAGCCUAACCGCAAGGAGGGCGCUACCACGC